Podarcis lilfordi (Lilford's wall lizard) is the source of this 72-nucleotide non-coding RNA. The record is from the annotation of a GenBank genome assembly. NCBI's taxonomy places the organism in Eukaryota, Metazoa, Chordata, Lepidosauria, Squamata, Lacertidae.
AGGGAUGUAGCUCAGUAGGAGAGCAUCUGCUUGGCAUGCAGAAGGCCCCAGGUUCAAUUACUAGCAUCUCCA